UACGGGGGAUGCAAGCGUUAUCCGGAAUCAUUGGGCGUAAAGCGCCUGUAGGUUGUUUAAUAAGUCUGUUGUUAAAGACUAGGGCUCAACCCUAGAAAAGCAAUGGAAACUACUAAACUAGAGUAUGGUAGGGGUAGAGGGAAUUUCUAGUGUAACGGUGAAAUGUGUAGAUAUUAGAAAGAACACCGGUGGCGAAAGCGCUUUACUGGACCAUUACUGACACUCAGAGGCGAAAGCUAGGGUAGCAAAAGGGAUUAGAUACCCCUGUAGUCCUAGCCGUAAACGAUGGAUACUAGGUCUUGCGCUUUAUGUGCAGUAUCUUAGCUAACGCGUUAAGUAUCCCGCCUGGGGAGUACGCUCGCAAGGGUG
RNAcentral lists this ribosomal RNA (369 nucleotides) under uncultured phototrophic eukaryote. Its description in RNAcentral is "SSU rRNA". It matches the Rfam family "Bacterial small subunit ribosomal RNA", at positions 524 to 896 of the family's 1533-position model. The record is from RNAcentral.